AUUGAACGCUGGCGGAAUGCUUUACACGUGCAAGUCGAACGGCAGCACGGGGGCAACCCUGGUGGCGAGUGGCGAACGGGUGAGUAAUACAUCGGAACGUGCCCAGUCGUGGGGGAUAACGUAGCGAAAGUUACGCUAAUACCGCAUACGAUCUACGGAUGAAAGCGGGGGACCGUAAGGCCUCGCGCGAUUGGAGCGGCCGAUGUCAGAUUAGGUAGUUGGUGAGGUAAAGGCUCACCAAGCCGACGAUCUGUAGCUGGUCUGAGAGGACGACCAGCCAAACUGGGACUGAGAACCGGCCCAGACUCCUACGGGAGGCAGCAGUGGGGAAUUCUGGACAAUGGGCGCAAGCCUGAUCCAGCCAUUCCGCGUGCAGGACGAAGGCCUUCGGGUUGUAAACUGCUUUUGUACGGAACGAAAAGGCUCUGGUUAAUACCUGGGGCUCAUGACGGUACCGUAAGAAUAAGCACCGGCUAACUACGUGCCAGCAGCCGCCGUAA
Molecule: ribosomal RNA, 500 nt
Filed under: uncultured bacterium
Lineage: Bacteria
Description: partial 16S ribosomal RNA
Rfam family: Bacterial small subunit ribosomal RNA
Source: RNAcentral